UGAGCAAUCUGCCCUUCUCUUCGGAAUAAGCGUUGGAAACGACGUCUAAUGCCGAAUACGACCUCCUUUCACAUGAUCGGAGGUGGAAAGCUCCGGCGGAGAAGGAUGAGCUCGCGGCCUAUCAGCUAGUUGGUGUGGGUAAUGGCCCACAAGGCGACGACGGGUAGCCGGCCUGAGGAGGGUCGACCGGCCACACGUGGGACUGAGACACGGCCCAGACCUCCGUACGGGGA
RNAcentral lists this ribosomal RNA (233 nucleotides) under uncultured bacterium. RNAcentral describes it as "partial 16S ribosomal RNA". It matches the Rfam family "Bacterial small subunit ribosomal RNA", at positions 118 to 347 of the family's 1533-position model. The record is from RNAcentral.